CGCUGUUUCAGUAUCAUCUUCAUAUGAGCUAGACGUCAGAUAUCUGCCUUCUGGUACUCAGGUCCUUUACUCUCUGAAGCUACUGCACAAAUUCGUCUUGAAAUUGCUGACUUUGUAAGCGGACUUGCCUACGUGUAUAAAUAUGAUAAAGAAGAAGAAAAUGUAAAUUAUGGAUCAUUAAUGGAUGAAUUCGAAAAAUGGAUAAGGAUUUCAAAUGUAGUCCUUCAAGGAGCCUUCGAAAUUCAAGGAUAAUUUAUCUAUCUGUAUUACAAAUUCAGGGUCGGUUUACACUCUGAACCUCUUAAAAUAAGCACAUUAACAGAUCUUGGGAAUAUCUAGCAGGAACAGAGUGGUGCGGAAUAUAAAGAAGUGUGUAACUUGCAGAUUCCCUAGCCAAACAAGCCAUUUCUGCAGGUACGCCCUUUCAAUACCCAGCUCCUAAAAGCCAUCUGAAAAGUAUUCUAAAUGAAUUGAGCCUACAGCAAUGGCAAGAAGAAUGGGACAAUGGCUCAACUGGCAGAAACCUCCAUCAAAUCAUCUCGAAAGUGUCCUUUAACCCAUCAUCUUGGAAUAGGCUUGACAUUAUCUUUGCAACUGGCCAAGGCCCUUUCCCUUCAUAUUUCAAGCGAUUCCAUAUUAAAGGAUCUGAUCAAUGUGGCUGCGGCGAAGUAGGCGAUCCCCUUCAUUAUGCCACUAGCUGCCCUCUCACCACAUCUUUUCAUCUCAAAAAACCCACCCACGACCUAGAAAAUAUCUGGUGGACCAACGUUAUGAGAAACAAGAUGUUCAAGGUUAAAAUUAGAAACCUUGUGCGCUUCCUACAAGAGAACGAGGAAUUGAUUUCUCCAGACCCAAGCCCAGUAUAAAUUUUCGCUUCAUUUCUCAACCAAGCUCUUCUCCGGAAUAUAUUAACUUCAAUAGAUUUCAUCUACUCAUACCCCCUACCGAACGCCUCCUUCAUCAUUAUAAUAUUGUAUAUAGUUACUUUUCAAGUGUAUUGAUGAUAUUUUAUGUCU
Molecule: long non-coding RNA, 1016 nt
Organism: Argiope bruennichi
Lineage: Eukaryota; Metazoa; Arthropoda; Arachnida; Araneae; Araneidae
Exons: 3
Source: RefSeq, a predicted model, not a curated record